This 595-nucleotide ribosomal RNA is filed under the name uncultured Bacteroidota bacterium. RNAcentral's name for it is "bacterial SSU rRNA". It matches the Rfam family "Bacterial small subunit ribosomal RNA", at positions 122 to 715 of the family's 1533-position model. The record is from RNAcentral. Lineage: Bacteria; Pseudomonadati; Bacteroidota.
CNACCUGCCCACCACUUGGGGAUAACCUUGCGAAAGUAAGACUAAUACCCAAUGACGUCUCUAGAAGACAUCUGAAAGAGAUUAAAGAUUUAUCGGUGAUGGAUGGGGAUGCGUCCGAUUAGCUUGUUGGCGGGGUAACGGCCCACCAAGGCAACGAUCAGUAGGGGUUCUGAGAGGAAGGUCCCCCACAUUGGAACUGAGACACGGUCCAAACUCCUACGGGAGGCAGCAGUGAGGAAUAUUGGUCAAUGGGCGAGAGCCUGAACCAGCCAAGUAGCGUGCAGGAUGACGGCCCUAUGGGUUGUAAACUGCUUUUAUAAGGGAAUAAAGUGAGAGUCGUGACUCUUUUUGCAUGUACCUUAUGAAUAAGGACCGGCUAAUUCCGUGCCAGCAGCCGCGGUAAUACGGAAGGUCCGGGCGUUAUCCGGAUUUAUUGGGUUUAAAGGGAGCGUAGGCCGGAGAUUAAGCGUGUUGUGAAAUGUAGACGCUCNACGUCUGCACUGCAGCGCGAACUGGUUUCCUUGAGUACGCACAAAGUGGGCGGAAUUCGUGGUGUAGCGGUGAAAUGCUUAGAUAUCACGAAGAACUCCGAUUG